ACAAAACUUAGGCUUUUAAGAUCCGAUUGCGGGUCUAGUUGUUAUACAAAGUCAUACACAUGACAUCUAGUCAUAUUUGACUCCAAAACACUAACCAAGCUUCUUCUUGCUUCUCAAAGCUUUGAUGGUGUAGCCGAAGUCCGUAUAAGUCGUUGGCUUUGUAUCUUCUAACAAGGAAACACUACUUAGGCUUUUAAGAUCUGAUUGUGGUAGUUCUUCUACUCAAUCAUACACAUGACAUCAAGUUAUAUUUGACUCCAAAAAACUAACCAAGCUUCUUCUUGCUUCUCAAAACUUUGAUGUUGUAGUCGUAGUCCGUAUGAGUCUUUGUCUUUUUAUC
This 340-nucleotide small RNA is filed under the name Arabidopsis thaliana (thale cress). Its description in RNAcentral is "ATSL266820". Lineage: Eukaryota; Viridiplantae; Streptophyta; Magnoliopsida; Brassicales; Brassicaceae. The record is from RNAcentral.